This is a long non-coding RNA of Aquila chrysaetos chrysaetos, 810 nucleotides long. RefSeq lists it as uncharacterized. The transcript has 3 exons. Lineage: Eukaryota; Metazoa; Chordata; Aves; Accipitriformes; Accipitridae. The record is from RefSeq and is a predicted model, not a curated record.
UUUUGAAAAAGCCAUUUACAACAGUGUCUCACCAUACUGCGCUGUGACAUCAUGGCCAGAGAGUGCAGCAACUUUGAGACCUACUCCAUGUUUUAUGAAAAUACUCUCCAACAGCAGCACGGUUUACUUUACCAAAACGAACAAGAGCUGCACGCCGUGGAAGAAGGUGGCAACCAAAGUGAUACGGCUCUGACGCAGGAAAAGUUGGAUGUCUAUCGCCUUAGCAUUGAGCAACGAGUGUUUGAAAUCAUCAGUUAAGUGAGAAGAGAAGGAGUUGACAAUAUGAUUGAUCUGCAGAAAAAGUUUGGCUCCACUAAAAAUAAUGGUGACUUGAAAGGACAUUUGUCUAAAGUAAGGAAAUAUAUAUGUGUGUCAGUAAAUGAACACAAGGAUAAUACCCUGGUUAAGCUUGCUGAGGCUUAAGUUACUCCAUUCUGCCUGGGACGUUGGUUGGGUGAAGAGCAUGGAGGUGGUCCAUUACUAGACUCUGUUAAUGGCUACUCAUUUGUCAGGCUGUCAUGAAUCAAUCAUCUUUGACUACGUGUUUAUGCUCCAAGUACAGAAAUUUUGGGCCAAACCCAGCCCUUAAACCCUAAACAACUACAUGUAUUUGAAUUGAAUUUGGUUCUAAACUUAGGAACUCUGCUUUCAGUCUGUUCUGAGUGAAACUAACACCGUGCUUUCUACAUGGGUGAACGUCAGAGAGGUUGAACUUGGAUCUGAAGAAGUAUAAAUGUGAACUCACAUACAAUCAUAUGUCAGCAUUGUCCUGUGUUGUCAUCGUCCCUUUUCUGGGUGGGGGAAAGAGAA